GAUCCUGGCUCAGUAUGAACGCUAGCUACAGGCUUAACACAUGCAAGUCCAGGGGCAUCAGUUUGGUUUGCUUGCAAACCAAAGCUGGCGACCGGCGCACGGGUGAGUAACACGUAUCCAACCUGCCUCAUACUCGGGGAUAGCCUUUCGAAAGAAAGAUUAAUAUCCGAUAGCAUAUAUUUCCCGCAUGGGUUUUAUAUUAAAGAAAUUCGGUAUGAGAUGGGGAUGCGUUCCAUUAGUUUGUUGGGGGGG
This 252-nucleotide ribosomal RNA is filed under the name uncultured bacterium. Its description in RNAcentral is "partial 16S ribosomal RNA". It matches the Rfam family "Bacterial small subunit ribosomal RNA", at positions 15 to 257 of the family's 1533-position model. The record is from RNAcentral.